AGUUGGGCACUCUAGUGAGACUGCCGGUGACAAACCGGAGGAAGGUGGGGAUGACGUCAAGUCCUCAUGGCCCUUAUGUGUAGGGCUACACACGUCAUACAAUGGUCGGUACAGAGGGUUGCCAACCCGCGAGGGGGAGCUAAUCUCACAAAGCCGAUCGUAGUCCGGAUCGCAGUCUGCAACUCGACUGCGUGAAGUCGGAAUCGCUAGUAAUCGUGGAUCAGCAUGUCACGGUGAAUACGUUCCCGGGUCUUGUACACACCGCCCGUCACACCAUGGGAGUGGAAUCCGCCAGAAGUAGUUAGCCUAACCGCAAGGAGGGCGAUUACCACGGUAGGUUUCAUGACUGGGGUGAAGUCGUAACAAGGUAGCCGUAUCGGAAGGUGC
Molecule: ribosomal RNA, 387 nt
Filed under: uncultured bacterium glc18
Lineage: Bacteria
Description: bacterial SSU rRNA
Rfam family: Bacterial small subunit ribosomal RNA
Source: RNAcentral